Long non-coding RNA from Mauremys reevesii (Reeves's turtle), 750 nucleotides. RefSeq lists it as uncharacterized. The transcript has 4 exons. The record is from RefSeq and is a predicted model, not a curated record. NCBI's taxonomy places the organism in Eukaryota, Metazoa, Chordata, Testudines, Geoemydidae.
UUACGGCUACGGAUGCUAGCUCCCUGUUUAUGACUUGGCUAGUUCGUUAGCGUUUAGAUUGUUUUCACCCGAUCUGUUUUAGCUGCGGUUCUGCUAGAAACUGGUAAAUGCGAUUAACGAGAGGCCGGGGAGAAGAGACACACAUUUGCGCGGCUAAUGUUAUUCUAAACUUUAAAUAAAGAAAAGUUUGGGGUAUCAAGGAGUAUCCACCCCGUCCUGUUAAAAGCGAUCUCGAACCCACAAAGAUAAAAUUCUUAGGGCAAAAAUACAUACAUAGAAGGAGCCUGUAGAUUGGAAGGAGCUGAUACGCUGUUGAUUGCGGAUGAUUUGAGGUAACAUAACAGCAAACCUACUCUGCUAAGGCUGUAAUAAGCCAGUUGCUGCCUUGAAUCUACCCUCCACUCACAUUUCUGGAGUUCGACUUUGCAAAACGUCAACAGAUUUGUGUUGAACCCUCAUGGAAUAAACUCCUGGGUUUCCUUACUUCGGAAAAGAAAGCAAACUUCCCCAGUUGUUGCUCAACAGGGUGAUGGCUAAGCAGUGGAAUUUAAAAAAGAAUGAGAAGAAAAAAGGAACUGCCCCCACAUUUGGUCGGUAUAUUCCCAGCAUGACUGAAGGCCCCUGUCAUGAGGAGGUCCUGUUUCCAGCUUCAAGAGGCACUUCAGCUGCCCUGUGAUGUCGAGUGGAGAAAAUAUUGGCCUGGAGCGAUGAGAAAAACAGAAGGUAUUGGACUCUGCCACUCUGGCUUUC